CUUUGAUGAGGGUGCCAUGUUGGAGAGGCCCACAUGGCAAGGGACUGAGAAUGGCCUCUGGCCAACAGCCAGCAAAGAACUGGGCUUUCAAUCCCACAGCCCGUGAAGAACUGAAUCCUGAUACCAACUACCAUGAGUGAGCUUGGACGUGGACCCAUCCCUGGCUGAGCCUUCAGAUGAACACCCAGCGUCAGCUGACACCUUGAUCACAGCCUUGUGAAAGACCCUGAAGAGAAGGACUCAGCUAAGCUGUGCCUGAUUCCUGACCCACAGAAACUGGAGUUUACAGUCCAGCACGAGGAGAGAGACAGUAAACAAAUGCCAGGAAGUACUUCAGCAUCACAAAUCAUGCCAAAGUCUACAAGAGAAAAACCCUACGGAGGAUCAGAGGAGCUUCCUUGGACAUUUAAGGUGAUCCCUGAGGAGACAGAGGAAUCAACCUGUUGAAGAGAUGGGAAAAGUGGUCCAGGCAGAGGGAACCACACAGUUUCUAACAACAGUGGAGGAUAUUUAUAGAGGAGGUGAACCCCGGGCAGGAUCUGAACCCCAGGGCCUGGAGCUCUGAGAUAAUUUGCUGAGAAAGGAUUAGAACGUCAAGUGAAAUGAGUGCGCCAGCUUCUAAUCUCAUCUCAUCUUUGAACAUCUCGUCUAACAACUGGUUUCUAACUCAUUGUGCUCUUUAAAACCUGCCAAAAUGCCUGCAGGAUUUUUCUUUCCGUGGAUUCCUGAGUCUCUAACUACUAGCAUCUCAGGAGUAAGUAGCAGCUGGAGUAGAGAGUACAGGGAAGAUCAGUUUUCAGAUGCAAGGAGGAGCUGGCUGGGAUUGAGAAGCGUGUCCGCCCAGGCUGAGCAGCGCACAGGCAGGGCUGA
Molecule: long non-coding RNA, 870 nt
Filed under: Equus caballus (horse)
Lineage: Eukaryota; Metazoa; Chordata; Mammalia; Perissodactyla; Equidae
Description: lncRNA (ENSECAG00000048381.1)
Source: RNAcentral